Molecule: non-coding RNA, 129 nt
Organism: Bombyx mori (domestic silkworm)
Lineage: Eukaryota; Metazoa; Arthropoda; Insecta; Lepidoptera; Bombycidae
Source: RefSeq, marked provisional
CUAAUGGUGGUGUUACGAAUUUCAGUCUGAUUGCAAAGCCUGUUACAUGCUUCCAGAUGUACUUGCGAUAAAAGUCUGGACAAUCACAGCAACCAGUAAUCCAGUCGGUCUGAUUGUUUGGUAGUGUUA